This is a long non-coding RNA of Asparagus officinalis (garden asparagus), 684 nucleotides long. RefSeq lists it as uncharacterized. The transcript has 4 exons. The record is from RefSeq and is a predicted model, not a curated record. NCBI's taxonomy places the organism in Eukaryota, Viridiplantae, Streptophyta, Magnoliopsida, Asparagales, Asparagaceae.
AUUCUCUCCCUCUCAAAAUUUUUUUUAACGUCUCGUGUUCGCUCUGCCUUGUAUAGAGAAAUUAUUUUCUUUCUCCGCUCCCUGAGAGGAGUCUCUUCCUUAGCCACGGCGAGUUCGAACAAGAUCAAGAUGAUGGAACAUGUGAGAUAAAUGUAGAUGAGGAUGAAGAUACAACAAUCGUGUUAGAUCCCAUCUGAGCAAAGACGAAAGGUGCACCUAGAAAAAGAUUGAAGGCAUACAGUGAAAACGAACUAACCGUUGUGGCAUGUGCAACCAACAAGGUCAUAAUAUUCGGAGCUGUCUAAGUAUUUCAGUAAACAACGUUGACAAGCAAUACUUCCCAUCUGAUAUGACAUGGUCACAAGAAGACUACAACCUGCAUUGAUUUGAAAUAGAUGCUUGGAAAGUUACAGACUCUUUUCAUCAAAGAUUAUAAUCACAUGCUUUUCAACUAGCUGGUGGCCUUCUCUCUCGCUACAGUAGUGGUUGGACGAUUUGUCAUUAAGUUUUUUUUGGUGGAGAAAGAGGGUGGGUGAUGUUCAUCUUCCUAGAGACUUACACAAGGAUGUUUUGGUCAGCAAAAUCACUAUAUUACAAUCCGGGUUGGCAUUUCUUUUCAUUUUUUUGAUUAGGUUGGAGGAAAUGUAGAAAAUAGUUUUAAACUGUCAUUGGAGCUUUGACGGA